This 500-nucleotide ribosomal RNA is filed under the name uncultured bacterium. Its description in RNAcentral is "partial 16S ribosomal RNA". It matches the Rfam family "Bacterial small subunit ribosomal RNA", at positions 30 to 523 of the family's 1533-position model. The record is from RNAcentral.
AUUGAACGCUGGCGGCAUGCCUUACACAUGCAAGUCGAACGGCAGCACGGGAGCAAUCCUGGUGGCGAGUGGCGAACGGGUGAGUAAAGUAUCGGAACGUGCCCAGUCGUGGGGGAUAACGUAGCGAAAGUUACGCUAAUACCGCAUACGAUCUAUGGAUGAAAGCGGGGGAUCGCAAGACCUCGCGCGAUUGGAGCGGCCGAUAUCAAGUUAGGUAGUUGGUGGGGUAAAGGCUCACAAAGCCGACGAUUUGUAGCUGGUCUGAGAGGACGACCAGCCAAACUGGGACUGCAACACGGCCCAGAAUCCUACGGGAGGCAGCAGUGGGGAAGUUUGGACAAUGGGCGAAAGCCUGAUCCAGCCAUGCCGCGUGCAGGAUGAAGGCCUUCGGGUUGUAAACUGCUUUUGUACGGAACGAAAAGGUUUGGCCUAAUAAGCUGAGCUCAUGACGGUACCGUAAGAAUAAGCACCGGCUAACUACGUGCCAGCAGCCGCCGUAA